RNAcentral lists this ribosomal RNA (251 nucleotides) under uncultured bacterium. Its description in RNAcentral is "partial 16S ribosomal RNA". It matches the Rfam family "Bacterial small subunit ribosomal RNA", at positions 524 to 776 of the family's 1533-position model. The record is from RNAcentral.
AACGGAGAGGGCGAGUGUUACUCAUAAUGACUGGGUGUAAAGGGUACGUAGGUGGCUAAAUAAGUGGCGAGUGAAAGAAAAGAUUAAUUACUUUGAACGCUUGUUGAACUACUUAGCUAGAGUGUUGUCGAGGGUGCUGGUACUUUUGAUGGAGAGGUGAUAUUCUGCGAUUUCAAAAGGACGACCAAAGGCGAAGGCAAGUGCCUAGAGAACACUGACACUGAGGUACUGAAGCGUGGGUAUCAAAUCGG